CAGGACACUUCGGCUUUGGCAGGGCCUGAUCCUGUGAGCCCCCAGGUGCAGGGCGGGUUACAAGAUGGACUGUAGGAUGGGGUCACCCACUGCUCAGUCCAGCCAGCCAGCCACAUGACCAUUCAUAAUCAUUACAGAUUUUUUAAAAGAAGAAAUAUAUGGACAGAAAGCGCCAGUACCCACGCGCCAGCCGAGACAGCAAUAGCGAGACACUCCGGACAGGCGGAGGGCGUGCGGCCUUCCCACCGCCCACCUGAAAACACUGCCUAAAGGUGAGCCCAGUCCACGAAGCCUGCAUGAAAUGACGCGUUCAACAGCAGGAAGGACCUGGGUGGCAUAAAAAGAAAAAGAGUCAGGGAGACCAAGUCAG
RNAcentral lists this long non-coding RNA (370 nucleotides) under Homo sapiens (human). RNAcentral describes it as "HSALNT0068259". Lineage: Eukaryota; Metazoa; Chordata; Mammalia; Primates; Hominidae. The record is from RNAcentral.